This 492-nucleotide ribosomal RNA is filed under the name uncultured bacterium. RNAcentral describes it as "partial 16S ribosomal RNA". It matches the Rfam family "Bacterial small subunit ribosomal RNA", at positions 29 to 507 of the family's 1533-position model. The record is from RNAcentral.
AGUGAACGCUGGCGGUAGGCCUAACACAUGCAAGUCGAACGGCAGCACAGUAAGAGCUUGCUCUUACGGGUGGCGAGUGGCGGACGGGUGAGGAAUACAUCGGAAUCUACUUUUUCGUGGGGGAUAACGUAGGGAAACUUACGCUAAUACCGCAUACGACCUACGGGUGAAAGCAGGGGAUCUUCGGACCUUGCGCGAUUGAAUGAGCCGAUGUCGGAUUAGCUAGUUGGCGGGGUAAAGGCCCACCAAGGCGACGAUACGUAGCUGGUCUGAGAGGAUGAUCAGCCACACUGGAACUGAGACACGGUCCAGACUCCUACGGGAGGCAGCAGUGGGGAAUAUUGGACAAUGGGCGCAAGCCUGAUCCAGCCAUACCGCGUGGGUGAAGAAGGCCUUCGGGUUGUAAAGCCCUUUUGUUAGGAAAGAAAAGCAGCAGAUUAAUACCCCGCUGUUCUGACGGUACCCAAAGAAUAAGCACCGGCUAACUUCGUG